CAUAAAGUGGCAUGUAAUUUACGAGGCUCGAUUAUUUAUACUCUGAGGCUAAAGAAGAUUAAUAGUCUAUUUUGGUGCAUCUGGGAUGUGUGUUGUGGAAACAAAUUCACAAGCUGGAAUCCAGAUUACAAGCUCCAUGGAAGUAAACUGGACAAGGCUAGGAGUUUACCUGCUUUGCUCACCACUGUACACUCAGCAGCUGUUAAAUGAUGAAAGAGAAUGAUCUCUGAGAGAAUCAUGGGGAUUAAAGGAACAUGACACACCAGCGUUACAGAUGAGCGACCAGCCCCAGAGUGGGAUUGUGGGUAGGAGGAGAUGAGAGAGAGAACAGAAGACUCUCGGCCAGAGGCCAGCCAACCCCCUCUAUAUUCCAGGGGAGCACUAAGGGGUGGCCCUGAGCCACUUCCACUCAACACUCAGUCAGGCCAGCCCAGGAAGAAGCAGGUGCCACCACCAGCCAACCCUCCCUGAGUCACUAUUGACUUUUCUUGAAGCUUUGUUUACAAAAAUCCUUGACCACAGACAAUGAUCUAAUCCCUGGAAUGAGAAGUGGGUGCAGGUUUUGUGGGGCCUGAAAUACAUACAAAGGGACUCCCUUUCAGAAAAAAGACCUGAAAUUAAAAAUACAAAAUUAGCACAGGACUUCAGAAGAGCCCUCUAUAAAUCAGACCCCUUAAACUACGUUAAGCUCUCUUAAACUGUAUUAGCUUCAGGGUCUAUCCUGGGAGGGCUUUUGACUUUUGGACUGAAAGGUUUUCUUUUGUGACAGUAAAUAAUUUAUGAGGGCAAGGAUUGUUUUUUGUUUGCCUUUUCCACCUCUCCAUCAUUUCGCCGCAGGACCUACUCAUUGUGGACAAUAAACAUUGGUCCAUGAAUGGUGUUGGUGUCGAUGAAACAAUCAGAUAGGCAGGCGUUGUGCAAGACUGAUGGGCUCACUCUAACCAACGUGCUGUGGAACAAGUCUGUCCUGGAAGUAGUGGAGACACAGAGGAGGAAAAGGUCAGUUCUAUUUGGGGCAGAGGCAUAGUGAUCACGAAAAGCUUCAGAGACAAGUUGAUCUCUACUGGAAAGAUGAGUAAAGGUGUGGGGAUGGUGUUGAAAGGCAUUUCAGGCAGAGAGAGCAGUGGAGCUGAAGCAUGGAGGUGUGAAACCACAUAAGGAUUUCAUGGAAUUGUAAGCAGUUUGGUAUCGGCAGGGUAUGGAGCACAAGAUGAAGAGGGGUUCUUAGCAAGAGGUAAGGCUGAGAGGCAGAAAAAGGUGAAAUACUGAGGGCUUCACAGGAGUUUGGACUUUAGUCUGUGAACCAUGGGAGCCAUUGAUGGCUUUAAAGGGAAUAACAUGCAGUGCCUUUUUGUAAUUUUAUUCUGGCACCUGCAUGAAGAACAGAUUGGGGAUGAGGCAGCAAGACACUCAGGACCCUAUUGCAAUUGUGUGAGUGAAAGGCCAUGAAGGCCUGAUCAAAUGCUGUGAUGACGGCGGUGGUAGGGCCAGGCAGAUAAGGAGAGAUGGUGAGAAUGGGGUGUUCACAGGGUUUGAUG
This 1538-nucleotide long non-coding RNA is filed under the name Equus caballus (horse). RNAcentral's name for it is "lncRNA (ENSECAG00000051475.1)". Lineage: Eukaryota; Metazoa; Chordata; Mammalia; Perissodactyla; Equidae. The record is from RNAcentral.